CCUACGGGGGGCAGCAGUGGGGGAUAUUGGACAAUGGGGGAAACCCUGAUCCAGCGAUGCCGCGUGAGGGAAGAAGGUUUUCGGAUUGUAAACCUCUGUGGAGGGGGACGAUAAUGACGGUACCCCUUUAGGAAGCCACGGCUAACUACGUGCCAGCAGCCGCGGUAAUACGUAGGUGGCGAGCGUUGUCCGGAAUUAUUGGGUGUAAAGGGUGCGUAGACGGGAAAUUAAGUUAGUUGUGAAAUCCCCAGGCUCAACUUGGGAAUUGCAACUAAAACUGGUUUUCUUGAGUGAAGUAGAGGCAA
Molecule: ribosomal RNA, 305 nt
Filed under: uncultured bacterium
Lineage: Bacteria
Description: bacterial SSU rRNA
Rfam family: Bacterial small subunit ribosomal RNA
Source: RNAcentral